GGCCGGGUUCUGCGCAACUAUGUUCCGUGAACCGAGUCAGGGUCGGAAGGCAGCAGCUCUCAGCGGGUUACCUGGUGUGCCGCAGGUGACCUGGCGGCU
This 99-nucleotide signal recognition particle RNA is filed under the name Bacillota bacterium. RNAcentral's name for it is "signal recognition particle sRNA small type". It matches the Rfam family "Bacterial small signal recognition particle RNA". From Rfam's summary of the family: The signal recognition particle (SRP) is a universally conserved ribonucleoprotein involved in the co-translational targeting of proteins to membranes. Archaeal SRP consists of a 7S RNA and homologues of the eukaryotic SRP19 and SRP54 proteins. Lineage: Bacteria; Bacillati; Bacillota. The record is from RNAcentral.